RNAcentral lists this ribosomal RNA (111 nucleotides) under Trebouxia sp. 12 GS-2016. Its description in RNAcentral is "partial 5.8S ribosomal RNA". It matches the Rfam family "5.8S ribosomal RNA", at positions 47 to 154 of the family's 154-position model. Rfam says of the family: 5.8S ribosomal RNA (5.8S rRNA) is a component of the large subunit of the eukaryotic ribosome. It is transcribed by RNA polymerase I as part of the 45S precursor that also contains 18S and 28S rRNA. Lineage: Eukaryota; Viridiplantae; Chlorophyta; Trebouxiophyceae; Trebouxiales; Trebouxiaceae. The record is from RNAcentral.
AGCGAAAUGCGAUACGUAGUGUGAAUUGCAGAAUUCCGUGAACCAUCGAAUCUUUGAACGCAAAUUGCGCUCGAGGCCUCGGCCAAGAGCAUGUCUGCCUCAGCGUCGGCU